UUCAGAGGGAGCUGCCUUAAUUUCCCCUCUAUCACCAUCUGCAGCUUGGGUGGUUAUAGCUAAAAUUUUAUUAUAUUCACCUAUUCCUAUGGAGGCUUUAAGAAUCUGGUCUAAGUCAACCCAACAUGGUCUAUACACAACAGUAGCUUGUUUAAUCUUCUUUUCAAAUUCAGCUGGACUUUUCCUGAUAUCUGUUGAUGGACAUAUCAAGUCAAGAUGAGAUGGUUUCCAAUGACUCGAGUGAAUACCAACCCAAAGAAAGUUCAGAGGAUGAUGAUUCUAAUAAUAAUGAAGAUUCAGAUUCCAAAAAAUCAAUUAAUAAAAGAGCACCUCGCUUUACCACCACAGAGAAUGAGUCCUUAAUAGAUGGAGUUAUUAGCUAUUACAAAAUUUUAUUUGGCAAGCUUGGUGGUUCAAAUUCUACAUUUGAGAGAAAAGAGCAGAUCUGGAAAAGAAUUGCUAGAAUGGUUUCCUCGGUUGGCAAAGUUCCCCGUUCUGCAAAUAAAGACAGAAAUCGGAACCGUAAACAAUACUACUGGGGAUUGUGAUGAAUCUGAAAAUUCUAUUCAAAUGAUUGCAGAUACUCUCAAGAUUCCUGAUACCUCUGAUUCUGAGAAAGAAUACAAUGCUAUUGCCCAUAGGUCCUCAAAAGACCAACAUCCAAACACAAAUAUCCCUGAACCUACCAAAUUUCUUUAAAAAAAAUUAUUGAAGUCGGAAGUAAAUAAGCCUAGUGCAAUACCCACAUCAGAUGAAAUUCAAUAUCUGAUCCAUGCAGCGUUGGAAGUGAAUAAAAAAUGUUGUCAGCACUGAAUUUAGCAGUCUCCAAAAGGAAUUGCAGAAUCUACAAUCUCUGAUUUCGAAAAUAGGGAAAAGGAUCACAGAUUUCCAAGAAUGCUUGCUAAAAUGUCUUGAAAACAUUUUCAGAAAAUCUGAGUAUGAAAGAAAUGAUUUUACAAGAAGAUGUACAGAUGCAUGAGAUAAAUAAAAUUCAAAAAGAGGUUCUACAAAGUGAUGGUGAUCCGGAUGAUUUUACAGGUUCAACAAAUGGAAGACAUGAAGAGCAAACAUCAAAGACGCUUGAAAAUGAGGAAUCACAGCAACAAGCCAGCCCUAGACGCUUGUUUAAGAAGCCUAGAAAAUUUUUGGAUGAGGAGGAUGACUGAGAAAAAGAUACUUAUUGAACUGUCAAGCUGUUCAGAAUUUAAAAAUCUGUAGCAGGGCUUGAUUGGAUUUAAAAAGUUGUCUUCACAUUGUUAUGGUUCUCUAAGGUUCACAAAUCAUUACAACAUAUUGUUGCCAAACUGAUUUAAAAUUUUGUUUGUUUAAUUCUAAAUUGUUUUUAGAAAUUACAGAUUUUGCAUUGAGUGAUAUUAAAAAUUAGUUGAAACGGAUUUAAAAAUCAGAUAGUGUGAGACCGUUAUUGUGAGUAAAUGUCAAACUGUCUAGAUAUUUCAACUCAUUGUAUCAACAAAUUGUGUUCUUCAGUAUGACAGAACCGUUUCAUAUUUUAGGGAAAAAAGUUAUUUUGAAAAAAUAACCCAAAUACUAUUUUUUUUCAAU
Molecule: long non-coding RNA, 1563 nt
Organism: Pseudophryne corroboree (corroboree frog)
Lineage: Eukaryota; Metazoa; Chordata; Amphibia; Anura; Myobatrachidae
Exons: 4
Source: RefSeq, a predicted model, not a curated record